RNAcentral lists this long non-coding RNA (244 nucleotides) under Eucalyptus grandis. RNAcentral's name for it is "long non-coding RNA (EGRA_LNC006333)". Lineage: Eukaryota; Viridiplantae; Streptophyta; Magnoliopsida; Myrtales; Myrtaceae. The record is from RNAcentral.
AAUUCAAUGGUUAUGUUAGUAUUCAGCCAACAUAAUACUUUUCUAGACAGCGUGACCUUCCCAGGCAAAAGAGAAAGAACAAGAAAGGCAGAGGAAAAGAAAUAUGAUUAAGAUACGGCGCUCGCAUGUUGCACUAUCAUUAAAGAGAUUAAGAAGAAAAGUUGCUUUAAUAAAAAGUUGUUUUGCUUUCACGUAUCUAGACUGAAGACGUACCAAAACCCAUUUCAGUCCCAGAGAAAUAAAA